This is a non-coding RNA of Cordylochernes scorpioides, 105 nucleotides long. Lineage: Eukaryota; Metazoa; Arthropoda; Arachnida; Pseudoscorpiones; Chernetidae. The record is from the annotation of a GenBank genome assembly.
ACAGCCAUACCAUGUUGAAAACACCAGUUCUCAUCUAAUCACGGAAGUUAAGCAAUAUCAAGUCUAGUCAGUACUUGGGAGGGUGACCUGAAGUUGCCAGAUACA